RNAcentral lists this non-coding RNA (88 nucleotides) under Pseudomonas sp. NFACC45. Lineage: Bacteria; Pseudomonadati; Pseudomonadota; Gammaproteobacteria; Pseudomonadales; Pseudomonadaceae. The record is from RNAcentral.
CUUGAUGGUGGCUGUGCGCUUGGCGCCUUCGGGCGCGCCGGUUUGGGUGUGUCACCGGUCUACUAACCUGCGCACAGCCGCCACCCCU